GUGGCCUGAGUUUUUGGUUCAAUUCCCUGAACGAGGCAACUUCAGCCUCAAUUCAUCUUUUUUUAAGAAAUUUGAUUACAGCAAAUUAACGGUGAGGUUAAUAGCUUUUGUACCCGGAUAUCAUUCAGGUUCAAAUAUAAAGAAAUGGGGACACAUGAAGAUCCGUUCAGUUCUACAGGAUUGUGUUUUUGAUAAAGAAAUGGGGACACAUGAAGAUCCGUUCAGUUCUACAGGUUCAAAUAUAUAUCAGGCGGAUGUUGAAACGGACGAGGUGUAUGCCCAAAUGACGUUGCAGCCGUUGACCCCUCAAGAACAAAAGGAUACAUUUCUUCCGGUUGAGCUGGGAACUCUAAGCAGAUAGCCAACUAACUACUUUUGCAAGACGUUAACCGCCAGUGAUACGAGUACUCACGGAGGAUUCUCUGUUCCUCAACGGGCAGCUGAAAAAGUUUCCCUCCACUGGAUUUUACGCAGCAGCCACCCGCACAGGAACUUAUUGCACGGGCCUACGUGACUUCGAAUGGAAGUUCAGACAUAUUUUUCGCGG
Long non-coding RNA from Helianthus annuus (common sunflower), 547 nucleotides. RefSeq lists it as uncharacterized. The record is from RefSeq and is a predicted model, not a curated record. The transcript has 5 exons. NCBI's taxonomy places the organism in Eukaryota, Viridiplantae, Streptophyta, Magnoliopsida, Asterales, Asteraceae.